Molecule: ribosomal RNA, 253 nt
Filed under: uncultured bacterium
Lineage: Bacteria
Description: partial 16S ribosomal RNA
Rfam family: Bacterial small subunit ribosomal RNA
Source: RNAcentral
UACGGAGGUGGCAAGCGUUGCUCGGAAUCACUGGGCGUAAAGGGCGCGUAGGCGGGGAGGUAAGUCGGGUGUGAAAUCCCUCGGCCCAACCGAGGAACUGCGCCCGAAACUGCCGUGCUUGAGUGCCGGAGAGGGUGGCGGAAUUCCCCAAGUAGAGGUGAAAUUCGUAGAUAUGGGGAGGAACACCGGUGGCGAAGGCGGCCACCUGGACGGUAACUGACGCUGAGACGCGAAAGCGUGGGGAGCAAACAGG